RNAcentral lists this ribosomal RNA (643 nucleotides) under uncultured archaeon. RNAcentral describes it as "bacterial SSU rRNA". It matches the Rfam family "Archaeal small subunit ribosomal RNA", at positions 82 to 711 of the family's 1478-position model. The record is from RNAcentral.
CAGACAGCUCACUACACGUGGCUAACCUGCCCUUGGGAUGGGAACAACCCCGGGAAACUGGGGCUAAUUCCCGAUAGGUGAAGAACUCUGGAAUGAGUCUUUGCCCAAAAGGUGUCGGAUCAUGCUUUCGGCAUCGCCUAAGGAUGGGGCCGCGACCGAUCAGGUUGUUGGUGAGGUAAUGGCCCACCAAGCCUAUAACCGGUGCGGGCCGUGAGAGCGGGAGCCCGGAGAUGGGCACUGAGACAAGGGCCCAGGUCCUACGGGGCGCAGCAGUCGCGAAACCUUUGCAAUACACGAAAGUGUGACAGGGUCAUCCCGAGUGCCGACCGCUGAGGUUGGCUUUUACCCAGUCUAGAAAGCUGGGGGAAUAAGGAGAGGGCAAGUCUGGUGUCAGCCGCCGCGGUAAUACCAGCUCUCCGAGUGGUGUGGACGUUUAUUGGGCCUAAAGCAUCCGUAGCUGGCUGAACAAGUCCCCUGUUAAACCCACCGAUUUAAUCGUUGGUCUGCGGGGGAUACUGCUCGGCUAGGGGACGAGAGAGGCAGACGGUAUUCCCGGGGUAGGGGUGAAAUCCUAUAAUCCCGAGAAGACCACCAGUGGCGAAGGCUGUCUGCUAGAACGCGCCCGACGGUGAGGGAUGAAAGC